CAGAAACAUAAAUUAUAUAGGAGACAAAAAGUUUGUCCGACCAGCCGACCAGCAACUGUUGUUAUCAGUGAAUCUAUUUUUAGAAAAAUCCUUGUUAUAAAUAAAAAGGUACAUUUUCAGGUUCACCAAAUUGAGUUUUCAUUUUCAUAUCUAUUAUAGCUAUUAACAAUGAACCAAUCUUAAACAAGUGUAUUUAAUCUUUAUACUUGUGUUUUGUUUUAUACCAUAAUAAUACAAACUAUAUUACAACAUCAUAUACAUAUCCCUGCUAGCGCCAGGACAUUAAUUUAUGUAAUUAACUAGGGCACAACAUUUUUAUUAUUUCGUGCGAGCAGAGUAUAAUCACUUAUUUUUAAGUGAAUAAUCAGUGAAUUCUUCGGAGGAAAAUACGCUGCUUAAACAACUAUCAAUGCUGAUAGGAGCAUGUAUCUACCGCAGAAACUCUGCUCAGUCUGUAUUGGUUUUUAUCCGUGGAUUACAAUCCGUAGCUAAGUAAACGCCAUUUGUAAUGGAUAAAUUAGUGUCAACCUACUUGUUUUAAAUUGCAUUUGUAGCGUAAAUAGUGCAGAAUUGAGAAAUGUAGGAAAAGGGGACUGCCUAUAAAUCCGUAUAUCCACCUUUACCAGCAGAGCAAAAUCCGUAAGAAACUCACAAGAUGGUAACUAACGAGAAUCAAGAGGCACCAGCAGCAGACGAUGUAAAGUUCACCACGACGGUUAAACAGGAUGGAGCAUUGCCCACUGUUCGAAGAGUUAAUAUAUUAUUUUGGUCUAACUUUGUAGGUGUCCUUCUGUUACUGGUUGGAUUUGUCGCCCCUGGUUGGUUGACAAUAACAGCUGAGCAUAAAUUAACAUAUAUACCAAGCAGUUGGUCUGGGAGGACUCAACACAUACAAGAUGUAUACCAAGAUUAUGCACUUUGGUACGUCAUCCAGUGUUACCCGCAUGAUGGUAAAAACAUUGAAUGCGAGACUAUGACGUACAGAUCUAUAAGUGGCAUCUACGCAGACGAAGUUACUAGUUACGAAAAGCUAGCAAUAGCUAGGCUGGAAAAUGAAGGUGGUGACAAAUUCAUGUUUCAUGGAGUAGCACUAAUUUUCGGCUUUUCAAAGUUUGUUCAGAUUCAAACGCUGUACACAAUGGCUUUACUGAUAUCGUUCGCAUUGCUCUAUGUAUGGUAUGACCUUAGGAAAAAAGGUUGUAAGGGGCACAAGUAAUGGUCCUAGCAAAUGGAUGUGGAUUUUUCUGAUUCUCCUGACAAUUCUAGCCAUCGUUCUUAUUUUCAUUGGCGUGUUCAUUUUUGUUGGGGUUCGUGGUAAUUUGGGACAUGAACUUGGUACAGCAUUCGGACUGUUGUUUGCCGUAUUUGGAGGGUGUUUCCUGGGCGUGGUUUUCGUGACGGAGCUUGUACAAGUUCUCUGUUGUAGUAAUUUUGGUGCCUAGUUAUCAUCCAGUACAAUAAACUUCAUUGAAGAUCUAUUGUAACUUAGAGACUUUUUAGUCUUUCCACAGUGAUCGACUAGAAAAAAAGUUAUCCUGUAACUAUAGUAACUGAAAUAGUAUUUCAUAAACUUCUCAGUGUUUAUUUUACAUUGACUCAAAAGGAUGUUAAUAUGUAGAUUGUCAAUAGCUUUUUUGUGUUUGCCAUUCCCAAUAAAGUGUACAGAAAAGAUAAUUAUUAAUGAAAACGAAUUUAUUUUAAAACAGGGAGUAAGAUUAACAAGUAACCCGUUGUGAAGAAUUGUGAAUCCAAAUUGUUAAUUAAUGAAGAUGUGAGGCCUUAGAAGUUUAUAGUGAGAUUAUAAUUAUUAUGAAAUAUGUAUGUCUUCAAACAGUUAUUUUUUGAAGUAAUUUCAAUUUUUGUCAGACAUUUUAUUUUGGUCCAUCUUUUUUAAUUGCCUGACAACAAUGUUUGUAUCCCUUUGAUGAGAAUUGUCACGUGGUAUAAAGUCUUAGCUAAUAUUUAUUUACUAUAGUUGUGACUGUAUAGAAUAUUAGAAUAUAGAAUAUAUAUCAUUGAUCUACACAAAAUGUUAGUACAUUUGAGCCGCGUCACGACAAAACCAACGUUAUGCGUUUGCGACCAGCAUGGAUCCAGACCAGCCUGCGCAUCCGCGCAGUCUGAUCAGGAUCCAUGCUGUUCGCUAUCAGGUUCUCUACUUGAAAAAAGCUUUGUAAGCGAACAGCAUGGAUCCUGAUCAGACUGCACGGCUGCGCAGGCUGGUCUGGAUCCAUGCUGGUCGCAAACGCAUUACGUUGGUUUUGUCGUGACGCGGCUCAUUUGUAAUAUCAUAACACAUGUAGAGGGAGAUAAAGUUAAUUAGUGUCCAGCUUUAUUUGUCAUCCACUGAGAACGCUGUGUUUCUUAAAAAUUCUCCGUGUUAAUUUUCAUAGAAGAAUAAUCAAAUUCCGUUUAUCGUCGCCUUCAUUGUUUCAUAGUGCUUCAUUGAACCGCGUUCGUAAAUAUAGACAGGUUGUGACGUAAUAAAGUGAAUAUUAAUUAAGCUAAAUAAAGCUUGACACUAAAUAUGUUAGUUUUCAUCCGUAGCUGUUCUACAGAAAUUAGAAACAUUCUCUGGUCGCUAUCGCUCCUGUCGAAGUUUCUAAUUUCUGUAGAACAGCACGGGUGAACACUAACAAAUACUUAGCUACAUAUCAUGGUAUUUGGUUUUAUACGUGUCUUUUUUGUUUCUUUUAUUUUAUAUUUACGAUGCAAUCUUGUCGUGGACGAAAAAUAUAUUACUAUUUCUGAAACAUUUAUUUGCAUAUAUAAUUUUCCCGUUAAUUCUUUUAAUGUUGUUUUAACGUUGUUAGAGUUGUUUUUGUUGUUGAAAUAUUUAAGUCCACGUUGUGGAAUAAAUUGAUCUCUUUUUUUCUUUUUUAGUGUUCUACUUGUAUUUUAUCCAGGUUUCUAGUAGCUUCUUUCGUAAACUGUAUAUUUAGAACGUUUCUCU
Ruditapes philippinarum (Manila clam) is the source of this 2953-nucleotide long non-coding RNA. RefSeq lists it as uncharacterized. The transcript is spliced from 4 exons. The record is from RefSeq and is a predicted model, not a curated record. NCBI's taxonomy places the organism in Eukaryota, Metazoa, Mollusca, Bivalvia, Venerida, Veneridae.